Molecule: ribosomal RNA, 467 nt
Filed under: uncultured archaeon
Lineage: Archaea
Description: bacterial SSU rRNA
Rfam family: Archaeal small subunit ribosomal RNA
Source: RNAcentral
UUCUUGGUUGAUCCUGCCGGAGGUCACUGCUAUUGGGAUUCGACUAAGCCAUGCGAGUCGAGAGGGUUCGGCCCUCGGCUGACGGCUCAGUAACACGUGGAUAAUCUGCCCUAAGGUGGAGGAUAACCUCGGGAAACUGAGAAUAAUACUCCAUAAGUCUAGGAUGCUGGAAUGCACUUAGGCUAAAAACUUCGGUGCCUUAGGAUGAGUCUGCGGACUAUCAGGUUGUAGUCAGGGUAAAGACCUGACUAGCCUACAACGGAUACGGGUUGUGAGAGCAAUAACCCGGAGAUGAUAUCUGAGACACGAUAUCAGGCCCUACGGGGCGCAGCAGGCGCGGAAACUUCGCACUGCGCGAAAGCGCGACGAGGGAAUCCCAAGUGUAUGCACGUAAGUGUAUACUGUUUCUCUGUUUAAAAAGCAGAGAGAGUAGGAGCUGGGUAAGACGGGUGCCAGCCGCCGCGGUA